GCAGUCGUGGCUGAGUGGUUAAGGUGAUGGACUGGUGAUCCAUUGGGGUCUCCCCGCACAGGUUCGAAUCCUGUUGACUGCG
Molecule: transfer RNA, 82 nt
Filed under: Ixodes scapularis (black-legged tick)
Lineage: Eukaryota; Metazoa; Arthropoda; Arachnida; Ixodida; Ixodidae
Description: tRNA-Thr
Rfam family: tRNA
About the family: Transfer RNA (tRNA) molecules are approximately 80 nucleotides in length. Their secondary structure includes four short double-helical elements and three loops (D, anti-codon, and T loops).
Source: RNAcentral